This 274-nucleotide ribosomal RNA is filed under the name uncultured bacterium. RNAcentral describes it as "partial 16S ribosomal RNA". It matches the Rfam family "Bacterial small subunit ribosomal RNA", at positions 523 to 796 of the family's 1533-position model. The record is from RNAcentral.
AUACGGAGGGUGCAAGCGUUAAUCGGAAUUACUGGGCGUAAAGCGCGCGUAGGCGGCUGAUUAAGUCGGAUGUGAAAUCCCUGGGCUCAACCUAGAAACUGCAUCCGAUACUGGUCAGCUAGAGUUUUGGAGAGGUAAGUGGAAUUUCCGGUGUAGCGGUGAAAUGCAUAGAGAUCGGAAGGAACACCAGUGGCGAAGGCGACUUACUGGCCAAAAACUGACGCUGAGGUGCGAAAGCGUGGGUAGCGAACAGGAUUAGAUACCCUAGUAGUCC